RNAcentral lists this ribosomal RNA (528 nucleotides) under Korotnevella heteracantha. RNAcentral's name for it is "bacterial SSU rRNA". It matches the Rfam family "Eukaryotic small subunit ribosomal RNA", at positions 1214 to 1677 of the family's 1831-position model. The record is from RNAcentral. Lineage: Eukaryota; Discosea; Flabellinia; Dactylopodida; Paramoebidae.
CUUACCAGGUCCGGACACAGUUAGGAUUGACAGAUUGAAAGCUCCUCCUUGAUUCUGUGGGUGGUGGUGCAUGGCCGUUCUUAGUUGGUGGAGUGAUUUGUCUGGUUAAUUCCGAUAACGAACGAGACCUCAGCCUAUUAAUUAAAUAAAAAAAUAUAAGCAAUUAUAAGGGUUAAAUAAAAUUUAAUUUAAUAUUAUUUUUUAGUAUUAAAUUAUUUUAUUUAAAACUUGUUUAUAUUUAUUUUUAUUUUCUUAAAGGGACACUUGGUGUUUAACCAAGGGAAGUUUGAGGCAAUAACAGGUCUGUGAUGCCCUUUAGAUGUUCUGGGCCGCACGCGCGCUACACUGAUAAAAUCAAUAAGUUUUUUAAUUUAAUUCCUUGACUGAAAAGUUUGGGUAAACUUUGAAAAUUUUAUCGUGCUGGGGAUUGACAAUUGUAAUUAUUUGUCAUGAACGAGGAAUUCCUAGUAAACGUAAGUCAUCAGCUUACGUUGAUUACGUCCCUGCCCUUUGUACACACCGCCCGUC